GCUGUCUCUGGGUUACAGCUCACUGCAACACACAACGAGGGCCUCACAGGGCCUUGGUUACACCAAACAAACCAGAAACUGGGCCUGGCUCCUUCCUGCCACUGCCCGGGGGUCUCGUGCUGGCCCCAUGCAGCACCGAGCUUCACUUCUCUGCAGAGCGCUGAUCUCAGGGGCACAGGAAUGCAAGCAUCACCAGAGGGAUCAGACCUCAGGUCCUUCGAGCUCCGUCUCCUCUGCGACAGUGCCCAGCACCAGAUGCUGCAGAGGAAGGUGGAAGAACUAAGCAGCAGCAGAGGAGUGAGCCGCUCUCAGCUUCGGGGCUGAGGAGCUUCUAAAGGGCUGGGGCUGCCUUCUGGACCCUUCUCGGAGAUGAAACAGCAGCAGGAUUGUCCAGUCAUGGCUGGUUCAAUGCUCACAGGAGACCUGGGGAGUCGUCUCAUCCAGCUCCUCCUGAUCCUGCACCGGGCUUGGUACCAAGCAGAAGGAAGAAGUUCAAGAGGACCUAAGGGGCAACUGUCAGAGGAGGCCCAGCCUCACCCCUGUUAGCUUCACCCACCUUUUCUCCGCAUGAAGCCACUUGUUCUGGAGUGUCUUCGCCCCCACAGGAGCUUGCCAGGAGGUCUCAGGAAGUUUACCUCUGCCUUGGGCAUCCAAGUAGCGCUGAGGACUCCUCUCAUUGUCUGUCUGAUGUUCUGGCAGUGGCUGCUCCAUCUUGUGCCGCUCGUCUGAUUAAUGAGGAUCUUGGAGCCCGCUAAGAUUCAGUGGCAAACUCCCUCCCACAUCAAAUUGUGCAGCGCACAGAUUAUGAACCCUACCGAGGCUUGGAGCAUUUUCACCCCUACCCCUCUUCAGGGUCACUCAUCUCGGCUGUGAGUGAGAGGGAAACGCCAUGGGCAUCAGGUAUCUACCCCUAAGUGACAGGAUGCCGGAAAGCUCAACUUGUUUGGUAAAAACAUUUCUUGUAUGGUGAGGCUACAGCCUAAAAUCACCAACCACGCAGGUGACAUGAUUUAACAUCCAGGACUCUGUUCUGAAAUGCAAGGAUAAGCCCCCCGAGGAGGAUUUCCUUCUGCUGGUGGAGGAAGGGAAGUUAGUGGCAAGAACUUUUUCAGGCCAGUUUGCUCACGACUGAUUUGGCUGCUAGGACCACGGCCUCUGCCCUCGCUAUGCACAGCUGCUCAUGGCUUCAGUCUCUGCGGUUGCCUUGAGGUACAGCAGACCUUGCAGGGCCUGUGCUGAAAGGUGGCCCUCUUUGUAGUGCAGAUGGAUGAUAAACAUCUGAGUUUAAAGGGCUCCCAGGAGAUGCUGAAGUCUGAGGGUACAUACUCGUGCCCUUUCAUCCUCAGCAGUCCCACCGAUACCCCAGUCUUGCGCCUUGCCAGGGCCUAUCAAGGCAAGAGAGUAGGAGUUAAAGGCACAGGCUGACUCCUUCUUUUGCAGCAGCUCUUGGUCUACGUAGGCCCACUGGGGGACUCAGCAGCCAUUUUGAUGGGUCAGUUGAGAUGCCAGGCCGGUCUUCCUCAGUGCUUGGUCCCAAAUUGCAUCAGAUCAAAGGGUCUAAAGGAGUGUGGAAGUGGGACACACCCUUCAAUAUGAUUCUUCCCCUCCUUCCCACCCGCCCCUUCUUCUUUGGACCUCCUGGAGUGGCCUCAGUCUCCACUGUGGGUGGGAGCCAUAGAAUAGGUCCCACAGUGUCAUAGAGGAAUGGGGUUGUAUUCCUGCUCCUUCCUUAUCCCAAAAGCAAAGGGAGAUCUCAGGCCAAUUUUAGACCUAUGUCGACUCAACAGGUAUCUAAAAGAGAUGAAGGUUUCACCUAGUCACAUUGGCUGCCAUUACCCCCUGCCUGGAUCCCGGAGACUGGUAUGCCAUUCCCAGCUUAAACUGCCCCAUGGAAGUAUGUUCCUUUAGGAAAGGCCACCGGGUGUAUGAUAUUCUUGGCAAACCAAUCUCAUUCCCAGUUCAUAGUGCUGCCUUUCAGCCUGUCAGCAGCACCCUGGGGCUCUACAAAAUGAAUGGUGUUGGUAGCUGCCUUCCUGAGAAAGUUAGGGGUCAAGUUUGUCCCUAUCUGGCUGACUGGCUUGUGCGAGGCCUGUGAUGGGUUGGAUCACAGAACCCUCCCUUGGGAGCUGCCACUCAAUGUGCCAAGACCACUUCUGCCCAUUUUCCCUGCCAUUUCAGGACCCCAACACCCUGUUUUGCUGAGCUAGACACACCCGUCUGCUCCAACACAGACCCAGGGUCUGAAUUACUUGCCCCAGAGCUGCAGGUUUACCAGAAAGCA
This is a long non-coding RNA of Chelonoidis abingdonii (Abingdon island giant tortoise), 2281 nucleotides long. RefSeq lists it as uncharacterized. NCBI's taxonomy places the organism in Eukaryota, Metazoa, Chordata, Testudines, Testudinidae. The record is from RefSeq and is a predicted model, not a curated record.